This 299-nucleotide signal recognition particle RNA is filed under the name Oncorhynchus mykiss (rainbow trout). Its description in RNAcentral is "Metazoan signal recognition particle RNA (ENSOMYG00000050605.1)". It matches the Rfam family "Metazoan signal recognition particle RNA". Rfam says of the family: The signal recognition particle (SRP) is a universally conserved ribonucleoprotein. Lineage: Eukaryota; Metazoa; Chordata; Actinopteri; Salmoniformes; Salmonidae. The record is from RNAcentral.
GCCGGGUGCGGUGGCAUGUGCCUGUAAUCCAAGUCACUGGGAGGCUGAGGUUGGUGGAUCAAGUGAGCUGAGGAGCUCUGGGCUGCAGCACGCUAUGUCGAAUGGGUGUCCACGCCAAGUUCGGUAUCGAUAUGGUGUUCCUGGGGGAACCCGGGACCACCAGGUUGUCUAAGGAGGGGUGAACCGGCCCAGGUCGGAAACGAAGCAGGUCAAAUCCCCCGUGCUGUCCAGUAGUGGGAUAAUACCUGUGAGUAGAUGCUGCAGUGCAGCCUUGGCAAAACAUUGAGACCUAGUCUUUU